Long non-coding RNA from Anser brachyrhynchus (Pink-footed goose), 523 nucleotides. Lineage: Eukaryota; Metazoa; Chordata; Aves; Anseriformes; Anatidae. The record is from Ensembl.
CUUGUUUCCCUAAACCUAGCAGCCUUGCACAAUACGAAGGUCACCUGUGUGUCAUUUUUCCCCCUCGUAGGACAGGGAGGAGAUAAGGAGGCCAGGGCAGCACAGCACUGCUGGGUUGGUAAUCCCAGAGCAGCGUGCAGCUCUCGAGCUGUGACAGCAGGUCCCAGUCCUUUCACCAGCCUCAGGACAAGACAGCACGUGUGCCUGGAAUUACACGCUUUUCAAGGUGUUUUCAGGCAAGCUCCUGACUUUUAUCCCCCAUGUGCACAUCACCAGUGUGAUCCUGGCCAUGGAGUGGUUCCAGAUCUCUGACUUCCUACACUCUGUAUACACUAUCUCCUGGGAAACAUAUACUCCCCCUACAGCAGGUGAACCUAACACCAUGCUUAAGAGUUGUCCUGGGUGCACGCUUCCACAUAAAAUGCAUUAAUGGAUAAAAGGCUGUUUUUGUCAAAUGCGACAUAUUUGUAUUUGUAUGAUACUAAAAAAUAAACUCAGUUACAAAGGUGGCUUUUUUUUUUUU